Molecule: ribosomal RNA, 463 nt
Filed under: uncultured bacterium
Lineage: Bacteria
Description: partial 16S ribosomal RNA
Rfam family: Bacterial small subunit ribosomal RNA
Source: RNAcentral
GAUGAACGCUGACAGAAUGCUUAACACAUGCAAGUCGAUGGGGAAGUGGUGCUUGCACCAUGGCAACCAUGGCGGACGGGUGAGUAACGCGUAAGGGACUUACCUGCAGGACUGGGAUAACAGGGGGAAACUCCUGACAAGACCGGAUAAUGUCAUGGAGCUGCAUGGCUUUAUGAUGAAAGGAGACGCCUGCGGAGAGCCUUGCGUCCUAUUAGCUAGUUGGUGAGGUAAUGGCUCACCAAGGCGAAGAUAGGUAGCCGGCCUGAGAGGGUGGACGGCCACAAGGGGACUGAGAUACGGCCCUUACUCCUACGGGAGGCAGCAGUGGGGAAUAUUGGACAAUGGGGGCAACCCUGAUCCAGCAAUUCUGUGUGCACGAAGAAGGUUUUCGGAGUGUAAAGUGCUUUCAGCAGGGAAGAAGUAAGUGACGGUACCUGCAGAAGAAGCGACGGCUAAAUACGUG